UAACCAGACUCCUACGGGAGGCAGCAGUGGGGAAUAUUGGACAAUGGGGGGAACCCUGAUCCAGCGACGCCGCGUGAGUGAAGAAGUAUUUCGGUAUGUAAAGCUCUAUCAGCAGGGAAGAAAGAAAUGACGGUACCUGACUAAGAAGCCCCGGCUAACUACGUGCCAGCAGCCGCGGUAAUACGUAGGGGGCAAGCGUUAUCCGGAUUUACUGGGUGUAAAGGGCGUGUAGCCGGGUUGACAAGUCAGAUGUGAAAUCCUGCGGCUUAACCGCAGAACUGCAUUUGAAACUGUUGAUCUUGAGUACUGGAGAGGCAGACGGAAUUCCUAGUGUAGCGGUGAAAUGCGUAGAUAUUAGGAGGAACACCAGUGGCGAAGGCGGCCUGCUGGGCUUUUACUGACGCUGAGGCUCGAAAGUGUGGGGAGCAAGCAGGAUUAGAUACCCCAGUACG
RNAcentral lists this ribosomal RNA (452 nucleotides) under uncultured bacterium. RNAcentral's name for it is "bacterial SSU rRNA". It matches the Rfam family "Bacterial small subunit ribosomal RNA", at positions 328 to 793 of the family's 1533-position model. The record is from RNAcentral.